AUGAGGUUUGUAGAUCCAUAAAUCACCUUCUUUCAAGGCUGGAUCAGAUAUUCAAACAAGUGCAUUUUCUUCCUGCCACUGUCACCUGGCAGCUAAGGGAUGUGAGAUUCUCCUCCAUUGCGUUUCUGCCCACGGAAAAAGAAGAGACCCCACACUUCAGUACCUUUGGACAUAAAAGCAACCUGAAA
Long non-coding RNA from Mauremys reevesii (Reeves's turtle), 188 nucleotides. RefSeq lists it as uncharacterized. NCBI's taxonomy places the organism in Eukaryota, Metazoa, Chordata, Testudines, Geoemydidae. The transcript is spliced from 2 exons. The record is from RefSeq and is a predicted model, not a curated record.